GUGGGGGUAAGUACUCGUUUAGAGGCCAGGCUCGACCACUCCCGAAUACAGAACCCCACAGCUACCUUGCCAAGGUAAGGGUCGCGAGUUCGAGCCUCGUCUCCCGCUCCA
Molecule: transfer RNA, 111 nt
Filed under: Actinomycetota bacterium
Lineage: Bacteria; Bacillati; Actinomycetota
Description: tRNA-OTHER
Source: RNAcentral